Molecule: ribosomal RNA, 209 nt
Filed under: uncultured bacterium
Lineage: Bacteria
Description: partial 16S ribosomal RNA
Rfam family: Bacterial small subunit ribosomal RNA
Source: RNAcentral
CGCGUAGGCGGACUUUUAAGUCGGGGGUGAAAGCCCAGGGCUCAACCCUGGAAUUGCCUUCGAUACUGGGAGUCUUGAGUUCGGAAGAGGUUGGUGGAACUGCGAGUGUAGAGGUGAAAUUCGUAGAUAUUCGCAAGAACACCAGUGGCGAAGGCGGCCAACUGGUCCGAAACUGACGCUGAGGCGCGAAAGCGUGGGGAGGCAAAACA